RNAcentral lists this ribosomal RNA (701 nucleotides) under Arthrobacter sp. A5AGH. RNAcentral describes it as "bacterial SSU rRNA". It matches the Rfam family "Bacterial small subunit ribosomal RNA", at positions 112 to 826 of the family's 1533-position model. The record is from RNAcentral. Lineage: Bacteria; Bacillati; Actinomycetota; Actinomycetes; Micrococcales; Micrococcaceae.
AACACGUGAGUAACCUGCCCUUGACUCUGGGAUAAGUUUGGGAAACUGGGUCUAAUACCGGAUAUGACCGUCUGACGCAUGUCAUGGUGGUGGAAAGCUUUUGUGGUUUUGGAUGGACUCGCGGCCUAUCAGUUUGUUGGUGGGGUAAUGGCCUACCAAGGCGACGACGGGUAGCCGGCCUGAGAGGGUGACCGGCCACACUGGGACUGAGACACGGCCCAGACUCCUACGGGAGGCAGCAGUGGGGAAUAUUGCACAAUGGGCGGAAGCCUGAUGCAGCGACGCCGCGUGAGGGAUGACGGCCUUCGGGUUGUAAACCUCUUUCAGUAGGGAAGAAGCGAAAGUGACGGUACCUGCAGAAGAAGCGCCGGCUAACUACGUGCCAGCAGCCGCGGUAAUACGUAGGGCGCAAGCGUUAUCCGGAAUUAUUGGGCGUAAAGAGCUCGUAGGCGGUUUGUCGCGUCUGCUGUGAAAGACCGGGGCUCAACUCCGGUUCUGCAGUGGGUACGGGCAGACUAGAGUGCAGUAGGGGAGACUGGAAUUCCUGGUGUAGCGGUGAAAUGCGCAGAUAUCAGGAGGAACACCGAUGGCGAAGGCAGGUCUCUGGGCUGUAACUGACGCUGAGGAGCGAAAGCAUGGGGAGCGAACAGGAUUAGAUACCCUGGUAGUCCAUGCCGUAAACGUUGGGCACUAGGUGUGGG